AAAUAGCAGCCUUCAAUUCAUUUAAUUCACUGGAAAACCAUACGAUCCAUCAUAAAUUCCUCAUCAAUAGCACCUUAGUACAUACGAUUGAAGAGUCCCAAACCACCGCCACCCUCCUUUCCGGUUUUGUCUCCGCAAUUUGUUCCCCCCAUCACCGCGUCUCGAAUAGUCGCCACCGGUGCUGUGCUACACAUCCACCGCUUCCUGGUUUUUGCCUCUGCUCGUUGGUGUCGCAAACAGGCCAUCUCAAGUAUUCAUUGGCAUCCGAUUUGUUCUUCUUGGUUACGAUCCUCUAAAAAACUCACAGGUUUCACUGAAGUUUGUUAAUGGCGGAGCUAUUAAUGUCGGUAAAUACGGUCCGAAUUGCACUCAUGUUAUUCUUGAUAAGCUUGUUUGGGUCUACUCUGUCUUAUAUCAAAAACCCAUUUUCUGUUUUAAUUCCCAUGUGUAUUAAUCUUUGUACUCAAAUUGUACCAUAA
Molecule: long non-coding RNA, 479 nt
Filed under: Helianthus annuus (common sunflower)
Lineage: Eukaryota; Viridiplantae; Streptophyta; Magnoliopsida; Asterales; Asteraceae
Source: RNAcentral